RNAcentral lists this non-coding RNA (23 nucleotides) under Arabidopsis thaliana (thale cress). Lineage: Eukaryota; Viridiplantae; Streptophyta; Magnoliopsida; Brassicales; Brassicaceae. The record is from RNAcentral.
GGUAUUAAUGGCUUGUCGGAUGG